RNAcentral lists this ribosomal RNA (500 nucleotides) under uncultured bacterium. RNAcentral describes it as "bacterial SSU rRNA". It matches the Rfam family "Bacterial small subunit ribosomal RNA", at positions 791 to 1297 of the family's 1533-position model. The record is from RNAcentral.
UAGUCCACGCUGUAAACGAUGCUAACUCGAUGUAUGCGAUAGACAGUAUGCGUCCAAGCGAAAGUAUUAAGUGAACCACCUGGGGAGUACGUCGGCAACGGUGAAACUCAAAGGAAUUGACGGGGGCCCGCACAAGCGGAGGAACAUGUGGUUUAAUUCGAUGAUACGCGAGGAACCUUACCUGGGCUUAAAUGUAGAUUGCAUGUUGUGGAAACACACUUCUCUUCGGAGCUAUCUACAAGGUGCUGCAUGGUUGUCGUCAGCUCGUGCCGUGAGGUGUUAGGUUAAGUCCUGCAACGAGCGCAACCCCUAUUCUUAGUUGCCAGCGGUUCGGCCGGGGACUCUAAGAAGACUGCCAGCGCAAGCUGAGAGGAAGGUGGGGAUGACGUCAAAUCAUCACGGCCCUUACGUCCUGGGCUACACACGUGCUACAAUGGUAGAGACAGAGGGCAGCCACCUGGUGACAGGGAGCGAAUCCUAAAACUCUAUCUCAGUUCGGA